RNAcentral lists this ribosomal RNA (480 nucleotides) under uncultured Lachnospiraceae bacterium. Its description in RNAcentral is "bacterial SSU rRNA". It matches the Rfam family "Bacterial small subunit ribosomal RNA", at positions 36 to 507 of the family's 1533-position model. Lineage: Bacteria; Bacillati; Bacillota; Clostridia; Lachnospirales; Lachnospiraceae. The record is from RNAcentral.
GGCGUCAGGAUAGAACGACUGGCGGCGUGCUUAACACAUGCAAGUCGAACGGACACGGUAAUGAAACCUAGUGAUUUAUCUGUUAGUGGCGGACGGGUGAGUAACGCGUGGGUAACCUGCCGUAUACAGGGGGAUAACACUUAGAAAUAGGUGCUAAAACCGCAUAAGCGCACAGGAUCGCAUGGUCCGGUGUGAAAAACUCCGGUGGUAUACGAUGGACCCGCGUCUGAUUAGCUUGUUGGCGGGGUAGAGGCCCACCAAGGCGACGAUCAGUAGCCGGCCUGAGAGGGUGAACGGCCACAUUGGGACUGAGACACGGCCCAAACUCCUACGGGAGGCAGCAGUGGGGGAAUAUUGCACAAUGGGGGAAACCCUGAUGCAGCGACGCCGCGUGAGUGAAGAAGUAUUUCGGUAUGUAAAGCUCUAUCAGCAGGAAAGAAAAUGACGGUACCUGACUAAGAAGCCCCGGCUAACUACGUG